AACCCCACUAAAAAACUUGAUGAUAGAUUUUUUUCAUUUUUCAUACUUGAGGUCUAUGAGAUUCGUUAAAAUAGUGGGAGAUCCAAUUAGAUAAAAAACCCUGUCUAAUUUGUACAAAUCAUCAUGAGUAGUCUUUUUUUAUGUUCUUAUAUAUUCAUCAGCAUCUUCACUAUCACUGCAUAUUAUAUAUGAUGCUUUUUUGAUCGAAUUUCCUGGACUAGUUGAGGAACCUGAGAAUAGUUCUCACAUAAGAGAUAGUCUCCUAUUCUCCUGAUUUUGAUU
This 282-nucleotide long non-coding RNA is filed under the name Elaeis guineensis (African oil palm). RNAcentral's name for it is "long non-coding RNA (EGUI_LNC064176)". Lineage: Eukaryota; Viridiplantae; Streptophyta; Magnoliopsida; Arecales; Arecaceae. The record is from RNAcentral.